GACGAACGCGGCGGCGUGCCUAAUACAUGCAAGUAGAACGCUGAAGGAGGAGCUUGCUUCUCUGGAUGAGUUGCGAACGGGUGAGUAACGCGUAGGUAACCUGCCUGGUAGCGGGGGAUAACUAUUGGAAACGAUAGCUAAUACCGCAUAAGAGUAGAUGUUGCAUGACAUUUGCUUAAAAGGUGCAAUUGCAUCACUACCAGAUGGACCUGCGUUGUAUUAGCUAGUUGGUGAGGUAACGGCUCACCAAGGCGACGAUACAUAGCCGACCUGAGAGGGUGAUCGGCCACACUGGGACUGAGACACGGCCCAGACUCCUACGGGAGGCAGCAGUAGGGACAUCUUCGGCAAUGGACGGAAGUCUGACCGAGCAACGCCGCGUGAGUGAAGAAGGUUUUCGGAUCGUAAA
RNAcentral lists this ribosomal RNA (409 nucleotides) under Streptococcus mitis. RNAcentral describes it as "bacterial SSU rRNA". It matches the Rfam family "Bacterial small subunit ribosomal RNA", at positions 28 to 429 of the family's 1533-position model. The record is from RNAcentral. Lineage: Bacteria; Bacillati; Bacillota; Bacilli; Lactobacillales; Streptococcaceae.